RNAcentral lists this ribosomal RNA (460 nucleotides) under uncultured bacterium. Its description in RNAcentral is "partial 16S ribosomal RNA". It matches the Rfam family "Bacterial small subunit ribosomal RNA", at positions 338 to 795 of the family's 1533-position model. The record is from RNAcentral.
CCUACGGGAGGCAGCAGUGAGGAAUAUUGGUCAAUGGACGGAAGUCUGAACCAGCCAUGCCGCGUGCAGGAAGACGGCUCUAUGAGUUGUAAACUGCUUUUGUACAAGGGUAAACCUGAAUACGUGUAUUCAGCUGAAAGUACUGUACGAAUAAGGAUCGGCUAACUCCGUGCCAGCAGCCGCGGUAAUACGGAGGAUCCAAGCGUUAUCCGGAUUUAUUGGGUUUAAAGGGUGCGUAGGCGGAUUGAUAAGUUAGAGGUGAAAUGUCCGAGCUUAACUCGGGAACUGCCUCUAAUACUGUUGAUCUGGAGAGUAGAUGCGGUAGGCGGAAUGUAUGGGGUAGCGGUGAAAUGCUUAGAGAUCAUACAGAACACCGAUUGCGAAGGCAGCUUACUAAACUGCAACUGACAUUGAGGCUCGAAAGUGUGGGGAUCAAACAGGAUUAGAUACCCUUGUAGUC